Molecule: unclassified non-coding RNA, 382 nt
Filed under: uncultured Pseudomonadota bacterium
Lineage: Bacteria; Pseudomonadati; Pseudomonadota
Description: uncultured proteobacterium contains 16S-23S intergenic spacer region
Source: RNAcentral
UCCGGUUUAUCACGCGGCAGUCUCGCUAGAGUUCCCAACUGAAUGAUGGUAACUAGCGACAGGGGUUGCGCUCGUUGCCGGACUUAACCGAACACCUCACAGCACGAGCUGACGACAGCCAUGCAGCACCUGUCAUCGGGUUCCUUCGUGAGAAGGCACCCCCGUGUUUCCACAGGGCUCCCGAGAUGUCAAGCCUGGGUAAGGUUCUGCGCGUUGCUUCGAAUUAAUCCACAUAAUCCACCGCUUGUGCGGGUCCCCGUCAAUUCCUUUGAGUUUUAACCUUGCGGCCGUACUCCCCAGGCGGUCAACUUCACGCGUUAGCUUCGUUACCAAGGAAUUGCUUCCCCGACAACCAGUUGACAUAGUUUAGGGCGUGGACUAC